GGCUCGUUGGUCUAGGGGUAUGAUUAUCGCUUCGGGUGCGAGAGGUCGCGGGUUCAAAUCCCGGACGAGCCC
Molecule: transfer RNA, 72 nt
Filed under: Dermacentor andersoni
Lineage: Eukaryota; Metazoa; Arthropoda; Arachnida; Ixodida; Ixodidae
Description: transfer RNA proline (anticodon CGG)
Rfam family: tRNA
About the family: Transfer RNA (tRNA) molecules are approximately 80 nucleotides in length. Their secondary structure includes four short double-helical elements and three loops (D, anti-codon, and T loops). Further hydrogen bonds mediate the characteristic L-shaped molecular structure. tRNAs have two regions of fundamental functional importance: the anti-codon, which is responsible for specific mRNA codon recognition, and the 3' end, to which the tRNAs corresponding amino acid is attached (by aminoacyl-tRNA synthetases). tRNAs cope with the degeneracy of the genetic code in two manners: having more than one tRNA (with a specific anti-codon) for a particular amino acid; and 'wobble' base-pairing, i.e. permitting non-standard base-pairing at the 3rd anti-codon position.
Source: RNAcentral